AGGACGAACGCUGGCGGCGUGCUUAACACAUGCAAGUCGAGCGGAGAUAUAGCAAUAUAUCUUAGCGGCGGACGGGUGAGUAACGCGUGGGCAAUCUGCCUCAUACAGGGGGAUAACACUGGGAAACUAGUGCUAAUACCGCAUAAAAUAGUGAAGUGGCAUCACUUUUACUAUCAAAGGAGCAAUCCGGGUGUGAGAUGAGCCCGCGUCCGAUUAGCUAGUUGGAGGGUAACGGCCCACCAAGGCGACGAUCGGUAGCCGAACUGAGAGGUUGAUCGGCCACAUUGGGACUGAGACACGGCCCAGACUCCUACGGGAGGCAGCAGUGGGGAAUAUUGCGCCAAUGGGGGAAACCCUGACGCAGCAACGCCGCGUGAAGGAUGAAGGUUUUCGGAUUGUAAACUUCUUUGAUUGGGGACGAUAAUGACGGUACCCAAAAAACAAGCCACGGCUAACUACGUGCCAGCCGCCGC
RNAcentral lists this ribosomal RNA (473 nucleotides) under uncultured bacterium. RNAcentral describes it as "bacterial SSU rRNA". It matches the Rfam family "Bacterial small subunit ribosomal RNA", at positions 26 to 518 of the family's 1533-position model. The record is from RNAcentral.